UACAGGGGGGGCAAGCGUUGUUCGGAAUUACUGGGCGUAAAGGGUUCGUAGGUGGCUUACUAAGUCAGACGUGAAAUCCCUCAGCUUAACUGGGGAACUGCGUCUGAUACUGGAAAGCUUGAGUGCAGGAGAGGAACGCGGAAUUCCAGGUGUAGCGGUGAAAUGCGUAGAUAUCGGAAGGAACACCAGUGGCGAAGGCGGCUUCCUGGACUAAUACUGACGCUGAGGUGCGAAAGCGUGGGGAGCAAACAGG
Molecule: ribosomal RNA, 253 nt
Filed under: uncultured bacterium
Lineage: Bacteria
Description: partial 16S ribosomal RNA
Rfam family: Bacterial small subunit ribosomal RNA
Source: RNAcentral